AGGAAUGCUCCUUUGGAUUGGUGAGCAGAACCAAGUGGAUCCUUCAGAGUUCCCAUCUGUGUUUGUGUCUCAGCCUGUGUUAUGAUUCAGGGCUGUAGCUGUUGUUGUCACUGAGGAGUCAAACUCUGCUUUAAAUAAUGAGACAGUGGCCUAAUGGCCAAGUGUCAAGAAAAAAGGGGGAAUGUUCUCUGAGUGUUGAGAUGUAACAAGGGCUGAUCCUUUCUGCAGGGGGAUGUAGCCUGGAAACUGCACAGAGCUGAGCCAAGGGAUUUAAAGGGAGUAACCAAGGGAGGUGAAGAAAGAAGGAAGAAGGGAAGUGAGGCAGCAGCCAAGCAGCACCAAGUUCCUGUGUCAGCAGGGAAUAACUCCUGUCAGCAGCAAGGUCCCGACAGAAGUGGCAGCUGCAGUUGUUCCUGUGGUGUGGGCCAGUGGACUUGCAGGAGAGUGGAAGAGGGCAGGACCUAUAGAAUGUGAAUGCAAGAACCUGCCAAGAAACCAAUGGCCAAGAUGAUUGAUGAAUGCAGGACCUGAGAGAACCACGUUGAAUGACAACCUCGAACAGUUUCCAGUAUUGGAUGGAAAAGAUGGCCUUUGCUGCAUCUCCUUGAGCAAGGAAAGCCAGGAAAACUUUGCUUUUGAAGGAGAAAAUCUGGCAAGUGGGAAGGAAGAAAAGCAGCCACCUGACUCCUCCCUGAGCCCCAGACAGCCCAUGAACUGCCUUCCUGGGAAUGGUAGGACCGGGUGGACUCUGGAUUGCUCCUUCUGGAUGUGUGGCUCUCCCCUGCAGGAACUCCAGGAACUCCUGGUGCCGCCUGGGCCGAUGGAUUGGACGCCCCAGCCCCUCCGUUCCUGCCCAGCCACUGGGGCCGUGUCGAGUGGUGGCACUGCCAGCCCCUGCAGGUGAAGGGGAAAGGGCCUUUGCAGGUCUUGGGGAUCACAUUUAUAGCAGCUAAAGCUGCAGAAAAAGGACCUGGGAUCUCUUCUUGAGUUAGGAAUGCUCCUUUGGAUUGGUGAGCAGAACCAAGUGGAUCCUUCAGAGUUCCCAUCUGUGUUUGUGUCUCAGCCUGUGUUAUGAUUCAGGGCUGUAGCUGUUGUUGUCACUGAGGAGUCAAACUCUGCUUUAAAUAAUGAGACAGUGGCCUAAUGGCCAAGUGUCAAGAAAAAAGGGGGAAUGUUCUCUGAGUGUUGAGAU
Corapipo altera (White-ruffed manakin) is the source of this 1192-nucleotide long non-coding RNA. RefSeq lists it as uncharacterized. NCBI's taxonomy places the organism in Eukaryota, Metazoa, Chordata, Aves, Passeriformes, Pipridae. The record is from RefSeq and is a predicted model, not a curated record. The transcript is spliced from 4 exons.